AGAAUCCAUUAAAAGGCGGGAGAGAAAAUAGUAAUGGUUUGAAGUGGGGGCUCGUCAAUUUCCCGUCGAUUGGAGACAACUCAAUUCAAUCACCUUCAAGAAAUGAGCAUUUUCAACGACACCUGGGGUGUUGAAAGUAUUUGCACGUGCUCCCAUGGCAAUUACCAGAGCAGUUGCUUCUUAAUGAUAAAGAGAAAGGAAAACUUUAGUUUAUAUGUGUGGAUGUCAUAUGUGUAAGCAAUCAAUGAAUAG
Cynara cardunculus var. scolymus (artichoke) is the source of this 252-nucleotide long non-coding RNA. RefSeq lists it as uncharacterized. The transcript is spliced from 3 exons. The record is from RefSeq and is a predicted model, not a curated record. Lineage: Eukaryota; Viridiplantae; Streptophyta; Magnoliopsida; Asterales; Asteraceae.